Xyrichtys novacula (pearly razorfish) is the source of this 41736-nucleotide non-coding RNA. The record is from the annotation of a GenBank genome assembly. Lineage: Eukaryota; Metazoa; Chordata; Actinopteri; Labriformes; Labridae.
GUUGACUCUCCGUUUCAACUUAUCUCAAAAGUGAGGACCUCAACCUAUAUACCAGUUUUUAAAUUGUGUUGAAAGGCCAAAUAAAACCAGAGUUAUGAUAAAUUAUGUCCGCGAUACUUUUUUUUCUGCUUAUUUUGAUCACGUUCGGCGCUCGAUCGCGCUGUAUGAGACAGGAAAACAUAGCAUGCAGACAUUAGCGACAGGUCUUACAGGCGGAAAAGGCUUGCCAAAAGAAAAAAAAAACACACCACAACAUCUCUCCUAUUGGUGGAAAACUUCACCACAACAACCAAUCCAAAAUUAUAUGGUGACUGAUUGACAAGGGGCGGGCGCUUACGUUCUUCCUGCAACAUGAGAAGCGAGGGAGGGACUCUCAGCAGGGAUGCAGUCUGGGACACGUAGUUGCAAACCUAGCGACUUUGUUGUUAGAUUCAAUGACUUUUCAGACCCCCUAACGACUUUUUUUUAGAAAGCAAGGGACUUUUAUCGACUUCUUCUGGAGUUUAGAGACUCUGACAUGAAGCAGGCUUUCCUUACUGAGGAGUUAGCAACGCUGCUAAGGGUGCAGAGCCACACAUGCGCUCAGAGCUCUGCAUGGGAGACUGAAGCUGACAGAGCUGCAGCAGUUAGCAGGUUUCACCCUCAGAGACCACCAGGGGUUCAUGUUGAGGCAUUUUAAUUUUUUUUUUUUUUUGUGCCAUAGACACUGUCAGCACAAUCUGCAGUUACACUAACAAAAAUGCUGCAAAAAACAAAGAAUUAUGGAAAAAUUACACAUGGACUGACAUAGAGGAGGAUCUACACAAGUUUUUUACAUCAUGUUUUACAUCAUGCAUCAUUUACAUCAUGUUUUUUUGUAGUGGCAUAAAUAAAAAGUGACAUUUGUGAGACUAUACAGUGUUUUGUAAAUAAUUUUACAAAGAACGCCUGGGCCAUUGCCUGCAUUUUGAUGUAAAUAGAGGUAAAUCACUAUGUUCUUUGUUAAAAAUUUGCAUAUGUUUUGAAGUUUACAAUUUUUAUUUGAAGUUUAAGUUUUAAAAACAGUUCAUCACACAUAUUUGUGGUUUUCACAGUAAAAAUGUUACUUUUUUCCACUCGGAUUUUAUGUUUUGUGUGUGAAUUUGGGUCCAUUGUGUAAAUUCAGUAUGUCAACAUGAUAAAAUAACUGUAAAUUCGCACAGGUGAGGUUGUGCUGAAAAAAAUGAUACCAGGCAAGGCACGUGAUUGUCAAAUCUUGUGUCAAUAUGACAAAGCGUAUAGGCGUGAAUCUCAACAAUAUGUAUUUUCACCUUAGGGGACAAGAAAAAAUGGACUUUUUUCUCCUGCCAUGGGGGGGCGCUCUUUUGGGGAGUAAAAAUUCCUUCACAAAUGUGUUGAUGGCUGGACAUUGCAUCAUCCUAGAAAACUUGGAGGCCAGUGAGGACAAAAAUAAAAAGUUAUAAGACUUUUAAAUAUGUGGAUUUUAGGGUUAUUUUUGGCGCCCCCUAGAACCUAAACCGUGGGGUGCAGCGUCAUGAUUUGAAUAACUUUUAAUGGCCAUGGGGUGUAGAUUGGCCUGAGCAAAUGUGGUGCCGGUGGAACGAAAGCCUUCGGAGGAGUUAGCGAAAUUCCAAUGUGUGCAGAUCUGCAAAAAAUGCAAAAUAACCCAUUAACCGUACAUUUGACAGAUACGCCCACACUGACUUUUUUGUAGAUCUUAUUGAGAUACAUGUGUGUGUCAAUUUUUGUGUCAUUUUGCCAAAGCGUAAAGGCGUGACACUCAACAAUGUGUAUUUUCACCUUAGGGGACAAGAAAAAAUGGACUUUUUUCUCCUGCCAUGGGGGGGCGCUCUUUUGGGGAGUAAAAAUUCCUUCACAAAUGUGUUGAUGGCUGGACAUUGCAUCAUCCUAGAAAACUUGGAGGCCAGUGAGGACAAAAAUAAAAAGUUAUAAGACUUUUAAAUAUGUGGAUUUUAGGGUUAUUUUUGGCGCCCCCUAGAACCUAAACCGUGGGGUGCAGCGUCAUGAUUUGAAUAACUUUUAAUGGCCAUGGGGUGUAGAUUGGCCUGAGCAAAUGUGGUGCCGGUGGAACGAAAGCCUUCGGAGGAGUUAGCGAAAUUCCAAUGUGUGCAGAUCUGCAAAAAAUGCAAAAUAACCCAUUAACCGUACAUUUGACAGAUACGCCCACACUGACUUUUUUGUAGAUCUUAUUGAGAUACAUGUGUGUGUCAAUUUUUGUGUCAAUAUGACAAAGCGUACAGCCGUCAUGUGAAUUUUCACCUUAGGGGGCGCUAUGGAGCCAUUUUGCAUUUUAUUGUUUGGGCGACUUCGGAAUAUCAAAUUUUUCACCAGGCCCGGUCGUCCUGCCAAAUUUCAUGAGUUUUCGCCAGUGGGAAGUGGGCCAUUUUCCAGUUCAAAGGGGAGGAAAAAGAAAAAAGAAACAAAGAAAAACCACUUGGGGAAUAAUAGGGCUCUCGCAGCUGCUUAGCAGCUACGCUCGGGCCCUAACUAGGGCCCCGUUGGGGCACUGGCGGGCCCGAGCCGUGUCGCGCCGCCCCCAGCGCGACCGCCUACCCCUCCCGAUCGCGUCACACUCAAGGUCCAAAGAUGGUGUGCGCACUUGUCUGUGGUCAUUUACCAUUAUAAUGAAUGGGAGGCGCAGUUUCUACCAAAACGCUCGCUGCAGACAAACUCCAUGUCCUAUUUGAAAAAAGUCUGGAACAUGAGUGAGGGCACAAACACAGCUAAGAUAUAUCCAAAUGGCAAGUUGCUCCUCCUUUCGGUUUUGCCGAGAGAGCGAUGCGUUUAAGCCAUUAAGCGAUGGGCAGGAACAACUUGACCUUUUCUCCGGCCAUGGGGGGCGCUCUUUUGGAGAGUAAAAAUUCCUUCACAACUGUGUUGAUGGCUGAACAUUGCAUUAUCCUAGAAAACUUGGAGGCCAGUGAGGACAAAAAUAAAAAGUUAUAAGACUUUUGAAAAUGUGGAUUUUUGGGUUAUCUUUGGCGCCCCCUAGAACGUAAACCGUGGGGUGCAGCGUCAUGAUUUUUACAACUUUGAAUGGCCAUGGGGUUUAGAUUGGCCUGAGCAAAUUUGGUGCCGAUGGGACGAAAGCUUUAGGAGGAGUUAGCCACAUUCCAAUGUGUGCGAAUUGGCAAAAAAUGCGAAAUAGCCCUUUAACCGUACAUUUGACAGAUACGCCCGCAUUGACUUUUUCGUAGAUCUUAUUGAGAUACACUUGAUUGUCAAAUUUUGUGUCAAUAUGACAAAGCGUAUAGGUGUGACACUCAACAAUGUGUAUUUUUACCUUGGGGGUAAAGAAAAAAUGGACUUUUUUCUCCUGCCAUGGGGGGGCGCCCUUUUAGGGAGUAAAAAUUCCUUCACACAUGUGCUGAUGGCUGGACAUUGCAUCAUCCUAGAAAACUUGGAGGCCAGUGAGGACAAAAAUAAAGUUAUAAGACUUUUAAAAAUGUGGAUAUUUGGGUCCUCUUUGGCGCCCCCUAGAACGUAAACCGUGGGGUGCAGCGUCAUGAUUUUUACAAAUUUGAAUGGCCAUGGGGUUUAGAUUUGCCUGAGCAAAUGUGGUGUCAGUGGGACGAAAGCUUUAGGAGGAGUUAGCGAAAUUCCAAUGUGUGCGAAUCGGCAAAAGAUGCAAAAUAGCCCUUUAACCGUACUUUUUACAGAUACGCACACAUUGACUUUUUCGUAGAUCUUAUUGAGAUACACGUGAUUGUCAAAUUUUGUGUCAAUAUGCCUAAGCGUACAGGCGUGACACUCAACAAUGUGUAUUUUCGCCUUAGGGGACAAGAAAAAAUGGACUUUUUUCUCCUGCCAUGGGGGGGCGCUCUUUUGGCGAGUAAAAAUUCCUUCACAAAUGUGUUAAUUGCUGGACAUUGCAUCAUCCUAGAGAACUUGGAGGCCAGUGAGGACAAAAAUAAAAAGUUAUAAGACUUUUAAGACUGUGGAUUUUUGGGUUAUCUUUGGCUCCCCCUAGAACCUAAACCGUGGGGUGCAGCGUCAUGAUUUGUACAACUUUUAAUGGCCAUGGGGUGUAGAUUGGCCUGAGCAAAUGUGGUGCCGGUGGAACGAAAGCCUUCGGAGGAGUUAGCGAAAUUCCAAUGUGUGCGGAUCGGCAAAAAAUGCGAAAUAACCCUUUAACCGUACAUUUGACAGAUACGCCCGCACUGACUUUUUUGUAGAUCUUAUUGAGAUACAUGUGUGUGUCAAAUUUUGAGUCAAUAUGACAAAGCGUACAGGCGUGACAGUCAAUAGUGUAAAUUUUCACCUUAGGGGGCGCUAUGGAGCCAUUUUGCAUUUUAUUGUUUGGGCGACUUCAGAAUAUCGAAUUUUUCACCAGGCCCGGUCGUCCUGCCAAAUUUCAUGAGUUUUCGCCAGUGGGAAGUGGGCCAUUUUCCCCUUCAAAGGGGAGGAAAAAUAAGAAGAAAGAAAGAAAGAAAGAAAGAAAGAAGAAAGAAAAACCUAUACAGGAAUAAUAGGGCUCUACGCCCGGCUGCUCUGCAGCUGGCUCGGGCCCUAAUAAUAAUAACUAGGGCCCCGUUGGGGCACUGGCGGGCCCGAGCCGUGUCGCCUCUGCAUUCUUGUCAAAUAUGUAAAUAGCAUGUUUUUGCAGGUGCUAAAAAACAGACUCUGAGUGUGUGUGUGUGUGUGUGCGUGUGUGUGUGUGUGUCUGUGUGUGUGUGUGUGUGUAUCCUGCAGUACUCUGAGAAGAAUAAUAAUCAUAUUUCUGAGGUGAAUUUUGAAGAUUCAUCUGAGAGUUAGGUUUGAUUCGAUUCGAUUGACGCUCCCCAGCGUUCAAGUCACAUGACAUAUUUAACCGGAUGUAGCUGCAAGACGGAGCCUCGUUAACUCUCCGUUUCAACUUAUCUCAAAAGUGAGGACCUCAACCUAUAUACCAGUUUUUAAAUUGUGUUGAUAGGCCAAAUAAAACCAGAGUUAUGAUAAAUUAUGUCCGCGAUACUUUUUUUCUGCUUAUUUUGAUCACGUUCGGCGCUCGAUCGCGCUGUAUGAGACAGGAAAACAUAGCAUGCACACAUUAGCGACAGGUCUUACAGGCGGAAAAGGCUUGCCAAAAGAAAAAAAAAACACACCACAACAUCUCUCCUAUUGGUGGAAAACUUCACCACAACAACCAAUCCAAAAUUAUAUGGUGACUGAUUGACAAGGGGCGGGCGCUUACGUUCUUCCUGCAACAUGAGAAGGGAGGGAGGGACUCUCAGCAGGGAUGCAGUCUGGGACACGUAGUUGCAAACCUAGCGACUUUGUUGUUAGAUUCAAUUACUUUUCAGACCCCCUAACGACUUUUUUUUAGAAAGAAAGGGACUUUUAUCGACUUCUUCUGGAGUUUAGAGACUCUGACAUGAAGCAGGCUUUCCUUACUGAGGAGUUAGCAACGCUGCUAAGGGUGCAGAGCCACACAUGCGCUCCGAGCUCUGCAUGGGAGACUGAAGCUGACAGAGCUGCAGCAGUUAGCAGGUUUCACCCUCAGAGACCACCAGGGGUUCAUGUUGAGGCAUUUUCAGUUUUUGUUUUUUUUUGCCAUAGACUGUCAGCACAAUCUGCAGUUACACUAACAAAAAUGCUGCAAAAAACAAAGAAUUAUGGAAAAAUUACACAUGGACUGACAUAGAGGAGGAUCUACACAAGUUUUUUACAUCAUGUUUUACAUCAUGCAUCAUUUACAUCAUGUUUUUUUGUAGUGGCAUAAAUAAAAAGUGACAUUUGUGAGACUAUACAGUGUUUUGUAAAUAAUUUUACAAAGAUUGCUGGGCCAUUGCCUGCAUUUUGAUGUAAAUAGAGGUAAAUUACUAUGUUCUUUGUUAAAAAUUUGCAUAUGUUUUGAAGUUUACAAUUUUUAUUUGAAGUUUAAGUUUUAAAAACAGUUCAUCACACAUAUUUGUGGUUUAAUUUCACAUUAAUUUCCAUAUUGUAUAAAUGACUGGAAAAAACUUGAGCCCCUGCCCCUGUAUAAUCAUGUGCACGUCCCUGUUCUAGCUCCAAGGUGAAUCUUCACUGCUCAUGUUCUCCUCAGAAAAAGUCACCUCACUCCCCUCAGGUUACUGUACACAUGCACCAACUAUCUGCUUCAGGUUUGGAUGGAGCUUCAUGGUUGUCUUUUGGAGAAAUGAACAGUCAAGUUGUGUUUGAAAUUUGAUUUUUUUCAGGGGCAAAAGGAAGCCUCUGCAUUCUUGUCAAAUAUGUAAACAGCAUGUUUUUGCAGGUGCUAAAAAACAGACUCUGAGUGUGUGUGUGUGUGUGUGUGUAUAUGUGUGUGUAUCCUGCAGUACUCUGUACUCCUGCAGUGGCCAAAAAGACUUUUAAGAAUGUGGAUUUUUGGGUCAUCUUUGGCGCCCCCUAGAACGUAAACCGUGGGGUGCAGCGUCAUGAUUUUUACAACUUUGAAUGGGCAUGGGGUGUAGAUUGCCCUGAGCAAAUUUGGUAUCGGUGGGACGAAAGCCUUAGGAGGAGAUAGCCACAUUCCAAUGUGUGCGAAUCGGCAAAAAAUGCGAAAUAGCCCUUUAACCGUACAUUAUACAGAUACGCGCUUUUUGACUUUUUCGUAGAUCUAAUUGAGAUACACAUGAUUGUCAAUUUUUGUGUCAAUAUGACAAAGCGUUCAGGCGUGACACUCAACAAUGUGUAUUUUCAUGUAAGGGGACAAGAAAAUCUUGACUUUUUUCUCCUGCCAUGGGGGGGCGCUCUUUUGGGGAGUAAAAAUUCCUUCACACAUGUGUUGAUGGCUGGACAUAGCAUCAUCCUAGAAAACUUGGAGGCCAGUGAGGACAAAAAUAAAAAGUUAUAAGACUUUUAAGAAUGUGGAUUUUUGGGUUAUCUUUGGCGCCCCCUAGAACAUAAACCGUGGGGUGCAGCGUCAUGAUUUGUACAACUUUUAAUGGCCAUGGGGUGUAGAUUGGCCUGAGCAAAUUUGGUGCCGGUGGAACGAAAGCCUUCGGAGGAGUUAGCGAAAUUCCAAUGUGUGCGGAUCGGCAAAAAAUGCGAAAUAGCCCUUUAACCGUACAUUUGACAGAUACGCCCGCACUGACUUUUUUGUAGAACUUAUUGAGAUACACAUGUGUGUCAAAUUUUGUGUCAUUUUGACAAAGCGUACAGGCGUCAGGUGAGUUUUCACCAUAGGGGGCGCUAUGGAGCAAUUUUUCAUUUUUUUGUUUGGGCCCUUUCAGAAUAUCAAAUUUUUCACCAGGCCCGGUCGUCCUGCCAAAUUUCCAGAGUUUUCGCCAGUGGGAAGUGGGCCAUUUUCCAGUUUAAAGCGGAGGAAAAAUAACGAAAGAAGAAUCCAUCAGGAACAAGAGGGCUCUCGCAGCUGCUUAGCAGCUACGCUCGGGCCCUAACUAGGGCCCCGUUGGGGCACUGUCGGGCCCGAGCCGCGUCGCGCCGCCCCAAGCGCGACCGCCUCCCCGUCCCAUUCGUGCCCUCUGGCCAUCGCCCUCUCUGGUAACGCCCAUCACUGCAAAGACCCUUUUCCUUCAUCGGUGUUUGCUGUUCUUCCUGCCAUUGUGUGUUGCUUUCACUUACACUUGCCACAGCCAGCCUCGUGAGUGCCUGGCCUGGUUUGACCUUUGCUCACCAUGAUUGUGUGACCUUGGUAUCAGCUACUUGGGAAGUUCAACCGUUGUGGCAAAGCUUUGUUUGCGUGCUGUGCUCAACCACCUAUUUUCUAUGGAUGUGUAAGUAAACCACUUUCUUUCUUACACAAUGACACACUCAUACUUAUCACUCACUGCUACUGAUGUGCUCUGUUAGUAUGCAUGCAGGAAACCUGAUGAAUGAAGAAAUGCCCAGACUAGCCAACAUCUCAAUAAAUUAUGAGGUAUGACAUCACUUGAAUGGUUUCCUUGGACUAUGCUUCCAUUAUUCUAAUUCUGUAAUAAAAAGAAAUUUUGUCCAAAAGGACUGUUGUUGUUUUUUCUUCUAAUAAUUAACAUAUUUAACAUAAUUAACAUUCAAUAUGCGCUCAUUACACACGUGCACACUCUUUGAUGAUCUGAGAAGCAGAGCUUAAAGGACAGUAGGAGUAGCUGAACAAAGUGUAUUUGUAGGAAAGUUGUAAGAGCUAUUGAAACGCCGUUUUCGCGGGUUGAAAGGUUAGGGUGUCCACCAAAGGUCAGAGGUCAAAUAACAUUUGUAUCUCAAACUGUGACGUCAAAGUCAAGGUCCAAAGAUGGUGUGCGCACCUGUCUUUGGUCAUUUCCCAUUAUAAUGAAUGGGAGGCACAGUUUCUACCAAAACGCUCGCUGCAGACAAACUACAUGUCCUAUUUGAAAAAACUCUGGACCAUGAGUGAGGGCACAAACACAGCUAGGACAUAUCCAAAUGGCAAGUUGCUCCUCCUUUUGGUUUUAGCGGGAGAGCAAUGCGUUUGAGCCAUUAAGCGAUGGGCUGGAAAAACUUGACUUUUUCUCCUGCCAUGGGGGGGGGGGGGGCGCUCUUUUGGGGAGAAAAAUUCCUUCACAGAUGUGUUGAUGGCUGCACAUUGCAUCAUCCUAGAAAACUUGGAGGCCAGUGAGGACAAAAACAAAAAGUUAUAAGACUUUUAAAAAUGUGGAUAUUUGGGUCAUCUUUGGCGCCCCCUAGAACCUAAACCGUGGGGUGCAGCGUCAUGAUUUGUACAACUUUGAAUGGCCAUGGGGUGUAGAUUGGCCUGAGCAAAUUUGGUGUCAGUAGAACGAAAGCCUUAGGAGGAGUUAGCCACAUUCUAAUGUGUGCGAAUCGGCAAAAAAUGCAAGAUAGCCCUUUAACCGUACAUUUUACAGAUAUGUGCCCAUUGACUUUUUCGUAGAUCUUAUUGAGAUACACGUGUGUGUCAAAUUUUGUGUCAAUAUGACAAAGCGUAUAGGCGUGACACUGAACAAUGUGUAUUUUCACCUUAGGGGACAAGAAAAAAUGGCCUUUUUUGUCCUGCCAUGGGGGGGGCGCUGUUUUGGGGAGUAAAAAUUCCUUCACAAAUGUGUUGAUGGCUGGACAUUGCAUCAUCCUAGAAAACUUGGAGGCCAAUGAGGACAAAAAUAAAAAGUUAUAAGAUUUUUAAGAAUGUGGAUUUGUGGGUCAUCUUUGGCGCCCCCUAGAACGUAAACCGUGGGGUGCAGCGUCAUGAUUUGUACAACUUUUAAUGGCCAUGGGGUGUAGAUUGGCCUGAGCAAAUGUGGUGCCGGUGGAACGAAUGCCUUCGGAGGAGUUAGCGAAAUUCCAAUGUGUGCAGAUCUGCAAAAAAUGCGAAAUAACCCUCUAACCGUACAUUUCACAGAUGCGCCCGCACUGACUUUUUCGUAGAUCUUAUUGAGAUACACAUGUGUGUCAAAUUUUGUGUCAUUUUGACAAAGCGUACAGGCGUCAGGUGAGUUUUCACCAUAGGGGGCGCUAUGGAGCCAUUUUUCAUUUUUUUGUUUGGGCGACUUCAGAAUAUCGAAUUUUUCACCAGGCCCGGUCGUCCUGCCAAAUUUCAUGAGUUUUCGCCAGUGGGAAGUGGGCCAUUUUCCAGUUUAAAGCGGAGGAAAAAUAAUAACUAGGGCCCCGUUGGGGCACUGUCGGGCCCGAGCCGCGUCGCGCCGCCCCCAGCGCGACCGCCUCCCCGUCCCAUUCGUGCCCUCUGGCCAUCGCCCUCUCUGGUGACGCCCAUCACUGCAAAGACCCUUUUCCUUCAUCGGUGUUUGCUGUUCUUCCUGCCAUUGUGUGUUGCUUUCACUUACACUUGCCACAGCCAGCCUCGUGAGUGCCUGGCCUGGUUUGACCUUUGCUCACCAUGAUUGUGUGACCUUGGUAUCAGCUACUUGGGAAGUUCAACCGUUGUGGCAAAGCUUUGUUUGCGUGCUGUGCUCAACCACCUAUUUUCUAUGGAUGUGUAAGUAAACCACUUUCUUUCUUACACAAUGACACACUCAUACUUAUCACUCACUGCUACUGAUGUGCUCUGUUAGUAUGCAUGCAGGAAACCUGAUGAAUGAAGAAAUGCCCAGACUAGCCAACAUCUCAAUAAAUUAUGAGGUAUGACAUCACUUGAAUGGUUUCCUUGGACUAUGCUUCCAUUAUUCUAAUUCUGUAAUAAAAAGAAAUUUUGUCCAAAAGGACUGUUGUUGUUUUUUCUUCUAAUAAUUAACAUAUUUAACAUAAUUAACAUUCAAUAUGCGCUCAUUACACACGUGCACACUCUUUGAUGAUCUGAGAAGCAGAGCUUAAAGGACAGUAGGAGUAGCUGAACAAAGUGUAUUUGUAGGAAAGCCGUAAGAGCUAUUGAAACGCCGUUUUCGCGGGUUGAAAGGUUAGGGUGUCCACCAAAGGUCAGAGGUCAAAUAACAUUUGUAUCUCAAACUGUGACGUCAAAGUCAAGGUCCAAAGAUGGUGUGCGCACCUGUCUUUGGUCAUUUCCCAUUAUAAUGAAUGGGAGGCACAGUUUCUACCAAAACGCUCGCUGCAGACAAACUACAUGUCCUAUUUGAAAAAACUCUGGACCAUGAGUGAGGGCACAAACACAGCUAGGACAUAUCCAAAUGGCAAGUUGCUCCUCCUUUUGGUUUUAGCGGGAGAGCAAUGCGUUUGAGCCAUUAAGCGAUGGGCUGGAAAAACUUGACUUUUUCUCCUGCCAUUGGGGGGGGCGCUCUUUUGGGGAGAAAAAAUUCCUUCACAGAUGUGUUGAUGGCUGCACAUUGCAUCAUCCUAGAAAACUUGGAGGCCAGUGAGGACAAAAUUAAAAGUUAUAAGACUUUUAAAAAUGUGGAUAUUUGGGUCAUCUUUGGCGCCCCCUAGAACCUAAACCGUGGGGUGCAGCGUCAUGAUUUGUACAACUUUGAAUGGCCAUGGGGUGUAGAUUGGCCUGAGCAAAUUUGGUGUCAGUAGAACGAAAGCCUUAGGAGGAGUUAGCCACAUUCUAAUGUGUGCGAAUCGGCAAAAAAUGCAAGAUAGCCCUUUAACCGUACAUUUUACAGAUAUGUGCCCAUUGACUUUUUCGUAGAUCUUAUUGAGAUACACGUGUGUGUCAAAUUUUGUGUCAAUAUGACAAAGCGUAUAGGCGUGACACUGAACAAUGUGUAUUUUCACCUUAGGGGACAAGAAAAAAUGGCCUUUUUUGUCCUGCCAUGGGGGGGGGGGCGCUGUUUUGGGGAGUAAAAAUUCCUUCACAAAUGUGUUGAUGGCUGGACAUUGCAUCAUCCUAGAAAACUUGGAGGCCAAUGAGGACAAAAAUAAAAAGUUAUAAGAUUUUUAAGAAUGUGGAUUUGUGGGUUAUCUUUGGCGCCCCCUAGAACGUAAACCGUGGGGUGCAGCGUCAUGAUUUGUACAACUUUUAAUGGCCAUGGGGUGUAGAUUGGCCUGAGCAAAUGUGGUGCCGGUGGAACGAAUGCCUUCGGAGGAGUUAGCGAAAUUCCAAUGUGUGCAGAUCUGCAAAAAAUGCGAAAUAACCCUCUAACCGUACAUUUCACAGAUGCGCCCGCACUGACUUUUUCGUAGAUCUUAUUGAGAUACACAUGUGUGUCAAAUUUUGUGUCAUUUUGACAAAGCGUACAGGCGUCAGGUGAGUUUUCACCAUAGGGGGCGCUAUGGAGCCAUUUUUCAUUUUUUUGUUUGGGCGACUUCAGAAUAUCGAAUUUUUCACCAGGCCCGGUCGUCCUGCCAAAUUUCCUGAGUUUUCGCCAGUGGGAAGUGGGCCAUUUUCCAGUUUAAAGCGGAGGAAAAAUAACGAAAGAAGAAUCCAUCAGGAACAAGAGGGCUCUCGCAGCUGCUUAGCAGCUACGCUCGGGCCCUAACAAACUAGGGCCCCGUUGGGGCACUGGCGGGCAUGAGCCGCGUUGCGCCGCCCCCAGUGCGACCGCCUCCCCCUCCCGAUCGCGUCACACUCAAGGUCCAAAGAUGGUGUGCGCACUUGUCUGUGGUCAUUUCCCAUUAUAAUGAAUGGGAGGCGCAGUUUCUACCAAAACACUCGCUGCAGACAAACUACAUGUCCUAUUUGAAAAAAGUCUGGACCAUGAGUGAGGGCACAAACACUGCUAGGAUAUAUCCAAACGGCAAGUUGCUCCUCGUUACGGUGUUGCCGGGAGAGCGAUGCGAUUGAGCCAUUGAGUGAUGGGCAGGAAAAACUUGACUGUUUCUCCUGCCAUGGGGGAUGGGGGAUGGGGGGGGGGGGGGGGGAUGUGGAUUCUUUUAAGAAUGUGGAUAUUUGGGUCAUCUUUGGCGCCCCCUAGAACGUAAACCGUGGGGUGAAGCGUCAUGAUUUUUAAAACUUUGAAUGGCCAUGGGGUGUAGAUUGGCCUGAGCAAAUUUGGUGUCAGUGGGACGAAAGCCUUAGGAGGUGUUAGCCACAUUCCAAUGUGUGCUAAUCGGCAAAAAAUGCAAAAUAGCCCUUUAACCGUACAUUUUACAGAUACGCGCGCAUUGACUUUUUCGUAGAUCUUAUUGAGAUACAUGUGUGUGUCAAAUUUUGUGUCAAUAUGACAAAGCAUACAGGUAUGACAGUCAACAAUGUGUAUUUUCACCUUAUGGGACAAGAAAAAAUGGACUUUUUUCUCCUGCCAUGGGGGGGCGCUCUUUUGGGGAGUAAAAAUUCCUUCACAAAUGUGUUGAUGGCUGCACAUUGCAUCAUCCUAGAAAACUUGGAGGCCAGUGAGGACAAAAAUAAAAAGUUAUAAGACUUUUAAAAAUGUGGAUAUUUGGGUCAUCUUUGGCGCCCCCUAGAACCUAAACCGUGGGGUGCAGCGUCAUGAUUUGUACAACUUUGAAUGGCCAUGGGGUGUAGAUUGGCCUGAGCAAAUUUGGUGUCAGUAGAACGAAAGCCUUAGGAGGAGUUAGCCACAUUCUAAUGUGUGCGAAUCGGCAAAAAAUGCAAGAUAGCCCUUUAACCGUACAUUUUACAGAUAUGUGCCCAUUGACUUUUUCGUAGAUCUUAUUGAGAUACACGUGUGUGUCAAAUUUUGUGUCAAUAUGACAAAGCGUAUAGGCGUGACACUGAACAAUGUGUAUUUUCACCUUAGGGGACAAGAAAAAAUGGCCUUUUUUGUCCUGCCAUGGGGGGGGGGCGCUGUUUUGGGGAGUAAAAAUUCCUUCACAAAUGUGUUGAUGGCUGGACAUUGCAUCAUCCUAGAAAACUUGGAGGCCAAUGAGGACAAAAAUAAAAAGUUAUAAGAUUUUUAAGAAUGUGGAUUUGUGGGUUAUCUUUGGCGCCCCCUAGAACGUAAACCGUGGGGUGCAGCGUCAUGAUUUGUACAACUUUUAAUGGCCAUGGGGUGUAGAUUGGCCUGAGCAAAUGUGGUGCCGGUGGAACGAAUGCCUUCGGAGGAGUUAGCGAAAUUCCAAUGUGUGCAGAUCUGCAAAAAAUGCGAAAUAACCCUCUAACCGUACAUUUCACAGAUGCGCCCGCACUGACUUUUUCGUAGAUCUUAUUGAGAUACACAUGUGUGUCAAAUUUUGUGUCAUUUUGACAAAGCGUACAGGCGUCAGGUGAGUUUUCACCAUAGGGGGCGCUAUGGAGCCAUUUUUCAUUUUUUUGUUUGGGCGACUUCAGAAUAUCGAAUUUUUCACCAGGCCCGGUCGUCCUGCCAAAUUUCCUGAGUUUUCGCCAGUGGGAAGUGGGCCAUUUUCCAGUUUAAAGCGGAGGAAAAAUAACGAAAGAAGAAUCCAUCAGGAACAAGAGGGCUCUCGCAGCUGCUUAGCAGCUACGCUCGGGCCCUAACAAACUAGGGCCCCGUUGGGGCACUGGCGGGCAUGAGCCGCGUUGCGCCGCCCCCAGUGCGACCGCCUCCCCCUCCCGAUCGCGUCACACUCAAGGUCCAAAGAUGGUGUGCGCACUUGUCUGUGGUCAUUUCCCAUUAUAAUGAAUGGGAGGCGCAGUUUCUACCAAAACACUCGCUGCAGACAAACUACAUGUCCUAUUUGAAAAAAGUCUGGACCAUGAGUGAGGGCACAAACACUGCUAGGAUAUAUCCAAACGGCAAGUUGCUCCUCGUUACGGUGUUGCCGGGAGAGCGAUGCGAUUGAGCCAUUGAGUGAUGGGCAGGAAAAACUUGACUGUUUCUCCUGCCAUGGGGGAUGGGGGAUGGGGGGGGGGGGGGGGGGGGAUGUGGAUUCUUUUAAGAAUGUGGAUAUUUGGGUCAUCUUUGGCGCCCCCUAGAACGUAAACCGUGGGGUGAAGCGUCAUGAUUUUUAAAACUUUGAAUGGCCAUGGGGUGUAGAUUGGCCUGAGCAAAUUUGGUGUCAGUGGGACGAAAGCCUUAGGAGGUGUUAGCCACAUUCCAAUGUGUGCUAAUCGGCAAAAAAUGCAAAAUAGCCCUUUAACCGUACAUUUUACAGAUACGCGCGCAUUGACUUUUUCGUAGAUCUUAUUGAGAUACAUGUGUGUGUCAAAUUUUGUGUCAAUAUGACAAAGCAUACAGGUAUGACAGUCAACAAUGUGUAUUUUCACCUUAUGGGACAAGAAAAAAUGGACUUUUUUCUCCUGCCAUGGGGGGGCGCUCUUUUGGGGAGUAAAAAUUCCUUCACAAAUGUGUUGAUGGCUGGACAUUGCAUCAUCCUAGAAAACUUGGAGGCCAGAGAGGACAAAAAUAAAAAGUUAUAAGACUUUUAAAUAUGUGGAUUUUAGGGUUAUCUUUGGCGCCCCCUAGAACCUAAACCGUGGGGUGCAGCGUCAUGAUUUGAAUAACUUUUAAUGGCCAUGGGGUGUAGAUUGGCCUGAGCAAAUGUGGUGCCGGUGGAACGAAAGCCUUCGGAGGAGUUAGCGAAAUUCCAAUGUGUGCGGAUCGCCAAAAAAUGCGCAAUAACCCUUUAACCGUACAUUUGACAGAUACGCCAGCACUGACUUUUUUGUAGAUCUUAUUGAGAUACAUGUGUGUGUCAAUUUUUGUGUAAUUUUGACAAAGCGUACAGGCGUGACAGUCAAUAGUGUGAAUUUUCACCUUAUGGGACAAGAAAAAAUGGACUUUUUUCUCCUGCCAUGGGGGGGCGCUCUUUUGGGGAGUAAAAAUUCCUUCACAAAUGAGUUGAUGGCUGGACAUUGCAUCAUCCUAGAGAACUUGGAGGCCAGUGAGGGCAAAAAUAAAAAGUUAUAAGACUUUGAAAUAUGUGGAUUUUAGGGUUAUCUUUGGCGCCCCCUAGAACCUAAACCGUGGGGUGCAGUGUCAUGAUUUGAAUAACUUUUAAUGGCCAUGGGGUGUAGAUUGGCCUGAGCAAAUGUGGUGCCGGUGGAACGAAAGCCUUCGGAGGAGUUAGCGAAAUUCCAAUGUGUGCGGAUCGGCAAAAAAUGCGAAAUAACCCUUUAACCGUACAUUUGACAGAUACGCCCGCACUGACUUUUUUGUAGAUCUUAUUGAGAUACAUGUGUGUGUCAAUUUUUGUGUCAUUUUGACAAAGCGUACAGGCGUCAGGUGAAUUUUUCACCUUAGGGGGCGCUAUGGAGCCAUUUUGCAUUGUAUUGUUUGGGCGACUUCAGAAUAUCAAAUUUUUCACCAGGCCCGGUCGUCCUGCCAAAUUUCAUGAGUUUUCGCCAGUGGGAAGUGGGCCAUUUUCCAGUUCAAAGGGGAGGAAAAAGAAAAAAGAAACAAAGAACUAGGGCCCCGUUGGGGCACUGGCGGGCCCGAGCCGUGUCGCGCCCCCUCCCCAACGCGAUCGCCUCCCCGUCCCAUUCUCUUCCUCUGGCCAUCGCCCUCUCUGGAAACGCCCAUCACUACAAAGACCCUUAUACUUCAUCGGCGUUUGUGGUUCUUCCCGCCAGUGUGUGUCCAACGCUUUUGCGCGUUGAAAGGUUAGGGUCUCCACUAAAGGUCAGAGGUCAAAUAACAUUUGUAUCUCAAACUGUGACGUCACAGUCAGGGUCCAAAGAUGGUGUGCGCAACUGUCUUUGGUCAUUUCCCAUUAUAAUGAAUGGGAGGCACAGUCUCUACCAAAACGCUCGCUGCAGAAAAACUACGUGUCCUUUUUGAAAAAAGUCUGGACCAUGAGUGAGGGCACAAACACAGCUAGUAUAUAUCCAAAUGGCAAGUUGCUCCUCCUUUCGGUUUUGCCGAGAGAGCGAUGCGUUUGAGCCAUUGAGCGAUGGGCAGGAAAAACUUGACUUUUUCUCCUGCCAUGGGGGGGCGCUCUUUUGGGGAGAAAAAAUUCCUUCACAAAUGUGUUGAUGGCUGCACAUUGCAUCAUCCUAGAAAACUUGGAGGCCAGUGAGGACAAAAAUAAAAAGUUAUAAGACUUUUAAGAAUGUGGAUUUUUGGGUCAUCUUUGGCGCCCCCUAGAACUGCAGUACUCUGUACUCCUGCAGUGGCCAAAAUGACUUUUAAGAAUGUGGAUUUUUGGGUCAUCUUUGGCGCCCCCUAGAACGUAAACCGUGGGGUGCAGCGUCAUGAUUUGUACAACUUUGAAUGGCCAUGGGGUGUAGAUUGACCUGAGCAAAUUUGAAGCCGAUGGGACAAAAGAUUUAGGAGGAGUUAGCCACAUUCCAAUGUGUGCGAAUCGGCAAAAAAUGCGAAAUAGCCCUUUAACCGUACAUUGAACAGAUACGCUCGCAUUGACUUUUUCGUAGAUCUUAUUGAGAUACAUGUGUGUGUCAAAUUUUGUGUCAUUUUGACAAAGCGUAAAGGCGUGACAGUCAACAAUGGUUAUUUUCGCCUUAGGAGACAAGAAAAAAUGGACUUUUUUCUCCUGCCAUGGAGGGGGGCGCUCUUUUGGCGAGUAAAAAUUCCUUCACAAAUGUGUUGAUGGCUGGACAUUGCAUCAUCCUAGAGAACUUGGAGGCCAGUGAGGACAAAAAUAAAAAGUUAUAAGACUUUUAAGACUGUGGAUUUUUGGGUUAUCUUUGGCGCCCCCUAGAACGUAAACCGUGGGGUGCAGCGUCAUGAUUUGUACAACUUUUAAUGGCCAUGGGGUGUAGAUUGGCCUGAGCAAAUGUGGUGCCUUUGGAACGAAAGCCUUCGGAGGAGUUAGCGAAAUUCCAAUGUGUGCGGAUCGGCAAAAAAUGCGAAAUAGCCCUUUAACCGUACAUUUGACAGAUACGCCCGCACUGACUUUUUUGUAGAUCUUAUUGAGAUACAUGUGUGUGUCAAUUUUUGUGUCAAUAUGACAAAGCGUAAAGGCGUGACAGUCAAUAGUGUGAAUUUUCGCCUUAGGAGACAAGAAAAAAUGGACUUUUUUCUCCUGCCAUGGGGGGGCGCUCUUUUGGCGAGUAAAAAUUCCUUCACAAAUGUGUUGAUGGCUGGACAUUGCAUCAUCCUAGAGAACUUGGAGGCCAGUGAGGACAAAAAUAAAAAGUUAUAAGACUUUUAAAUAUGUGGAUUUUAGGGUUAUCUUUGGCGCCCCCUAGAACCUAAACCGUGGGGUGCAGCGUCAUGAUUUGAAUAACUUUUAAUGGCCAUGGGGUGUAGAUUGGCCUGAGCAAAUGUGGUGCCGGAGGAACGAAAGCCUUAGGAGGAGUUAGCCACAUUCCAAUGUGUGCGGAUCGGCAAAAAAUGCGGAAUAACCCUUUAACCGUACAUUUGACAGAUACACGCGCAUUGACUUUUUCGUAGAUCUUAUUGAGUUACAUGUGUGUGUCAAUUUUUGUGUCAUUUUGACAAAGCGUAUAGGCGUGACACUCAACAAUGUGUAUUUUCACCUUAGGGGACAAGAAAAAAUGGACUUUUUUCUUCUGCCAUGGGGGGGCGCUCUUUUGGGGAGUAAAAAUUCCUUCACAAAUGUGUUGAUGGCUGGACAUUGCAUCAUCCUAGAAAACUUGGAGGCCAGUGAGGACAAAAAUAAAAAGUUAUAAGACUUUUAAAUAUGUGGAUUUUAGGGUUAUCUUUGGCGCCCCCUAGAACCUAAACCUUGGGGUGCAGCGUCAUGAUUUUGAUAACUUUUAAUGGCCACGGGGUGUAGAUUGGCCUGAGCAAAUGUGGUGCCGGUGGAACGAAAGCCUUCGGAGGAGUUAGCGAAAUUCCAAUGUGUGCGGAUCGGCAAAAAAUGCGAAAUAACCCUUUAACCGUAAUUUUGACAAAUACGGCCGCACUGACUUUUUUGUAGAUCUUAUUAAGAUACAUAUGUGUGUCAAUUUUUGUGUCAAUAUGACAAAGCGUACAGGCGUGACAGUCAAUAGUGUGAAUUUCCACCUUAGGGGGCGCUAUGGAGCCAUUUUGCAUUUUAUUGUUUGGGCGACUUCAGAAUAUCGAAUUUUUCACCAGGCCCGGUCGUCCUGCCAAAUUUCAUGAGUUUUCGCCAGUGGGAAGUGGGCCAUUUUCCAGUUCAAAGGGGAGGAAAAAUAAUAACUAGGGCCCCGUUGGGGCACUGGCGGGCCCGAGCCGUGUCACGCCGCCCCCAGCGCGACCGCCUCCCCCACCCGAUCGCGUCACACUCAAGGUCCAAAGAUGGUGUGCGCACUUGUUUGUGGUCAUUUACCAUUAUAAUGAACGGGAGGCGCAGUUUCUACCAAAACGCUCGCUGCAGAAAAACUCCAUGUCCUAUUUGAAAAAAGUCUGGACCAUGAGUGAGGGCACAAACACAGCUAAGAUAUAUCCAAAUGGCAAGUUGCUCCUCCUUUCGCUUUUGCCGAGAGAGCAGUGCGUUUGAGCCAUUGAAUGAUGAACAGGAAAAACUUGACUUUAUUCUCCUGCCAUGGGGGGCGCUCUUUUAACGAGAAAAAACUCCUUCACAAAUGUGUUGAUGGCUGGACAUUGCAUCAUCCUAGAAAACAUGGAGGCCAGUGAGGACAAAAAUAAAAAGUUAUAAGACUUUUAAAUAUGUGGAUUUUACGGUUAUCUUUGGCGCCCCCUAGAACCUAAACCGUGGGGUGCAGCGUCAUGAUUUGAAUAACUUUUAAUGGCCAUGGGGUGUAGAUUGGCCUGAGCAAAUGUGGUGCCGGUGGAACGAAAGCCUUCGGAGGAGUUAGCGAAAUUCCAAUGUGUGCGAAUCUGCAAAAAAUGCGAAAUAACCCUUUAACCGUACAUUUGACAGAUACGUGGCCAUUGACUUUUUCGAAGAUCUUAUUGAAAUACACGUGUGUGUAAAAUUUUGUGUCAAUACGACAAAACAUACAGGCGUAGCACUCAACAAUGUGUAUUUUCACCUUAGUGGACAAGAAAAAAUGGACUUUUUUCUCCUGCCAUGGGGGGGCGCUCUUUUGGCGAGUAAAAAUUCCUUCACAAAUGUGUUGAUGGCUGGACAUUGCAUCAUCCUAGAAAACUUGGAGGCCAGUGGGGACAAAAAUAAAAAGUUAUAAGACUUUUAAAUAUGUGGAUUUUACGGUUAUCUUUGGCGCCCCCUAGAACCUAAACCGUGGGGUGCAGCGUCAUGAUUUGAAUAACUUUUAAUGGCCAUGGGGUGUAGAUUGGCCUGAGCAAAUGUGGUGCCGGUGGAACGAAAGCCUUCGGAGGAGUUAGCGAAAUUCCAAUGUGUGCGGAUCGGCAAAAAAUGCGGAAUAACCCUUUAACUGUACAUUUGACAGAUACGCGCGCGUUGACUUUUUCGUAGAUCUUAUUGAGAUACAUGUGUGUGUCAAUUUUUGUGUCAUUUUGCCAAAGCGUACAGGUGUUACACUCAACAAUGUGUAUUUUCACCUUAGGGGACAAGAAAAAAUGGACUUUUUUCUCCUGCCAUGGGGGGGCGCUCUUUUGGGGAGUAAAAAUUUCUUCACAAAUGUGUUGAUGGCUGGACAUUGCAUCAUCCUAGAAAACUUGGAGGCCAGUGAGGGCAAAAAUAAAAAGUUAUAAGACUUUUAAAUAUGUGGAUCUUAGGGUUAUCUUUGGCGCCCCCUAGAACCUAAACCGUGGGGUGCAGCGUCAUGAUUUGAAUAACUUUUAAUGGCCAUGGGGUGUAGAUUGGCCUGAGCAAAUGUGGUGCCGGUGGAACGAAAGCCUUCGGAGGAGUUAGCGAAAUUCCAAUGUGUGCGGAUCGGCAAAAAAUGCGAAAUAACCCUUUAACCGUACAUUUGACAGAUACGCCCGCACUGACUUUUUUGUAGAUCUUAUUGAGAUACAUGUGUGUGUCAAUUUUUGUGUCAUUUUGACAAAGCGUACAGCCGUCAUGUGAAUUUUCACCUUAGGGGGCGCUAUGGAGCCAUUUUGCAUUUUAUUGUUUGGGCGACUUCGGAAUAUCAAAUUUUUCACCAGGCCCGGUCGUCCUGCCAAAUUUCAUGAGUUUUCGCCAGUGGGAAGUGGGCCAUUUUCCAGUUCAAAGGGGAGGAAAAAGAAACUAGGGCCCCGUUGGGGCACUGGCGGGCCCGAGCCGUGUCACGCCGCCCCCAGCGCGACCGCCUCCCCCACCCGAUCGCGUCACACUCAAGGUCCAAAGAUGGUGUGCGCACUUGUUUGUGGUCAUUUACCAUUAUAAUGAACGGGAGGCGCAGUUUCUACCAAAACGCUCGCUGCAGAAAAACUCCAUGUCCUAUUUGAAAAAAGUCUGGACCAUGAGUGAGGGCACAAACACAGCUAAGAUAUAUCCAAAUGGCAAGUUGCUCCUCCUUUCGCUUUUGCCGAGAGAGCAGUGCGUUUGAGCCAUUGAAUGAUGAACAGGAAAAACUUGACUUUAUUCUCCUGCCAUGGGGGGGCGCUCUUUUAACGAGAAAAAACUCCUUCACAAAUGUGUUGAUGGCUGGACAUUGCAUCAUCCUAGAAAACAUGGAGGCCAGUGAGGACAAAAAUAAAAAGUUAUAAGACUUUUAAAUAUGUGGAUUUUACGGUUAUCUUUGGCGCCCCCUAGAACCUAAACCGUGGGGUGCAGCGUCAUGAUUUGAAUAACUUUUAAUGGCCAUGGGGUGUAGAUUGGCCUGAGCAAAUGUGGUGCCGGUGGAACGAAAGCCUUCGGAGGAGUUAGCGAAAUUCCAAUGUGUGCGAAUCUGCAAAAAAUGCGAAAUAACCCUUUAACCGUACAUUUGACAGAUACGUGGCCAUUGCCUUUUUCGAAGAUCUUAUUGAAAUACACGUGUGUGUAAAAUUUUGUGUCAAUACGACAAAACAUACAGGCGUAGCACUCAACAAUGUGUAUUUUCACCUUAGUGGACAAGAAAAAAUGGACUUUUUUCUCCUGCCAUGGGGGGCGCUCUUUUGGCGAGUAAAAAUUCCUUCACAAAUGUGUUGAUGGCUGGACAUUGCAUCAUCCUAGAAAACUUGGAGGCCAGUGGGGACAAAAAUAAAAAGUUAUAAGACUUUUAAAUAUGUGGAUUUUACGGUUAUCUUUGGCGCCCCCUAGAACCUAAACCGUGGGGUGCAGCGUCAUGAUUUGAAUAACUUUUAAUGGCCAUGGGGUGUAGAUUGGCCUGAGCAAAUGUGGUGCCGGUGGAACGAAAGCCUUCGGAGGAGUUAGCGAAAUUCCAAUGUGUGCGGAUCGGCAAAAAAUGCGGAAUAACCCUUUAACUGUACAUUUGACAGAUACGCGCGCAUUGACUUUUUCGUAGAUCUUAUUGAGAUACAUGUGUGUGUCAAUUUUUGUGUCAUUUUGCCAAAGCGUACAGGUGUUACACUCAACAAUGUGUAUUUUCACCUUAGGGGACAAGAAAAAAUGGACUUUUUUCUCCUGCCAUGGGGGGGCGCUCUUUUGGGGAGUAAAAAUUUCUUCACAAAUGUGUUGAUGGCUGGACAUUGCAUCAUCCUAGAAAACUUGGAGGCCAGUGAGGGCAAAAAUAAAAAGUUAUAAGACUUUUAAAUAUGUGGAUCUUAGGGUUAUCUUUGGCGCCCCCUAGAACCUAAACCGUGGGGUGCAGCGUCAUGAUUUGAAUAACUUUUAAUGGCCAUGGGGUGUAGAUUGGCCUGAGCAAAUGUGGUGCCGGUGGAACGAGAGCCUUCGGAGGAGUUAGCGAAAUUCCAAUGUGUGCGGAUCGGCAAAAAAUGCGAAAUAACCCUUUAACCGUACAUUUGACAGAUACGCCCGCACUGACUUUUUUGUAGAUCUUAUUGAGAUACAUGUGUGUGUCAAUUUUUGUGUCAUUUUGACAAAGCGUACAGGCGUGACAGUCAAUAGUGUGAAUUUUCACCUUAGGGGGCGCUAUGGAGCCAUUUUGCAUUUUCUUGUUUGGGCGACUUCGGAAUAUCAAAUUUUUCACCAGGCCCGGUCGUCCUGCCAAAUUUCAUGAGUUUUCGCCAGUGGGAAGUGGGCCAUUUUCCAGUUCAAAGGGGAGGAAAAAUAAUAAUAAUAACUAGGGCCCCGGUGGGGCACUGUCGGGCCCGAGCCGCGUCGCGCCGCCCCUAGCGCGACCGCCUCCCCCUCCCGAUCGCGUCACACUCAAGGUCCAAAGAUGGUGUGCGCACUUGUCUGUGGUCAUUUCCCAUUAUAAUGAAUGGGAGGCGCAGUUUCUACCAAAACACUCGCUGCAGACAAACUUCAUGUCCUAUUUGAAAAAAGUCUGGACCAUGAGUGAGGGCACAAACACAGCUAUGAUAUAUCGAAAUGGCAGGUUGCUCCUCCUUAUGGUGUUGCCUGGAGAGCGAUGCGAUUGAGCCAUUGAGCGAUGGGCAGGGUUAACUUGACUUUUUCUCCUGCCUUGGGGGGGGAUGUGGAUUCCUUUAAGAAUGUGGAUUUUUGGGUCAUCUUUGGCGCCCCCUAGAACGUAAACCGUGGGGUGCAGCGUCAUGAUUUUUACAACUUUGAAUGGCCAUGGGGUGUAGAUUGGCCUGAGCAAAUUUGGUGUCAGUGGGACGAAAGCCUUAGGAGGAGUUAGCCACAUUCCAAUGUGUGCGAAUCGGCAAAAAAUGCAAAAUAGCCCUUUAACCGUACAUUUGACAGAUACGCGCGCAUUGACUUUUUUGUAGAUCUUAUUGAGAUACAUAUGUGUGUCAAUUUUUGUGUCAAUAUGAUAAAGCGUACAGGCGUGACAGUCAACAAUGUGAAUUUCCACCUUAGGGGACAAGAAAAAAUUGACUUUUUUCUCCUGCCAUGGGGGGGGGCGCUCUUUUGGGGAGUAAAAAUUCCUUCACAAAUGUGUUGAUGGCUGGACAUUGCAUCAUCCUAGAAAACUUGGAGGCCAGUGAGGACAAAAAUAAAAAGUUAUAAGACUUUUAAAUAUGUGGAUUUUAGGGUUAUCUUUGGCGCCCCCUAGAACCUAAACCGUGGGGUGCAGCGUCAUGAUUUGAAUAACUUUUAAUGGCCAUGGGGUGUAGAUUGGCCUGAGCAAAUGUGGUGCCGGUGGAACGAAAGCCUUCGGAGGAGUUAGCGAAAUUCCAAUGUAUGCGGAUCGGCAAAAAAUGCGGAAUAACCCUUUCACCGUACAUUUGACAGAUACGCGCGCAUUGACUUUUUCGUAGAUCUUAUUGAGAUACAUGUGUGUGUCAAUUUUUGUGUCAUUUUGCCAAAGCGUACAGGUGUUACACUCAACAAUGUGUAUUUUCACCUUAGGGGACAAGAAAAAAUGGACUUUUUUCUCCUGCCAUGGGGGGCGCUCUUUUGGGGAGUAAAAAUUCCUUCACAAAUGUGUUGAUGGCUGGACAUUGCAUCAUCCUAGAAAACUUGGAGGCCAGUGAGGGCAAAAAUAAAAAGUUAUAAGACUUUUAAAUAUGUGGAUCUUAGGGUUAUCUUUGGCGCCCCCUAGAACCUAAACCGUGGGGUGCAGCGUCAUGAUUUGAAUAACUUUUAAUGGCCAUGGGGUGUAGAUUGGCCUGAGCAAAUGUGGUGCCGGUGGAACGAAAGCCUUAGGAGGAGUUAGCGAAAUUCCAAUGUGUGCGGAUCGGCAAAAAAUGCGAAAUAACCCUUUAACCGUACAUUUGACAGAUACGCCCGCACUGACUUUUUUGUAGAUCUUAUUGAGAUACAUGUGUGUGUCAAUUUUUGUGUCAUUUUGACAAAGCGUACAGGCGUGACAGUCAAUAGUGUGAAUUUCCACCUUAGGGGGCGCUAUGGAGCCAUUUUGCAUUUUAUUGUUUGGGCGACUUCAGAAUAUCGAAUUUUUCACCAGGCCCGGUCGUCCUGCCAAAUUUCAUGAGUUUUCGCCAGUGGGAAGUGGGCCAUUUUCCAGUUCAAAGGGGAGGAAAAAGAAGAAAGAAAGAAAGAAUAAAAAGUUAUAAGACUUUUAAAUAUGUGGAUUUUAGUGUUAUCUUUGGCGCCCCCUAGAACCUAAACCUUGGGGUGCAGCGUCAUGAUUUUGAUAACUUUUAAUGGCCACGGGGUGUAGAUUGGCCUGAGCAAAUGUGGUGCCGGUGGAACGAAAGCCUUCGGAGGAGUUAGCGAAAUUCCAAUGUGUGCGGAUCGGCAAAAAAUGCGAAAUAACCCUUUAACCGUAAUUUUGACAGAUACGGCCGCACUGACUUUUUUGUAGAUCUUAUUGAGAUACAUAUGUGUGUCAAUUUUUGUGUCAAUAUGACAAAGCGUACAGGCGUGACAGUCAAUAGUGUGAAUUUUCACCUUAGGGGGCGCUAUGGAGCCAUUUUGCAUUUUAUUGUUUGGGCGACUUCAGAAUAUCAAAUUUUUCACCAGGCCCGGUCGUCCUGCCAAAUUUCAUGAGUUUUCGCCAGUGGGAAGUGGGCCAUUUUCCAGUUCAAAGGGGAGGAAAAAGAAAAAAGAAAGAAAGAAACAAAGAAAAACCACUUGGGGAAUAAUAGGGCCUACGCCCGGCUGCUCUGCAGCUGGCUCGGGCCCUAAGAAAGAAACAAAGAAAAACCCCUACAGGAAUAACAGGGCCUACGCCCGGCUGCUCUGCAGCUGGCUCGGGCCCUAACUAGGACCCCGUUGGGGCACUGGCGGGCCCGAGCUGUGUCGCGUCCCCCCCCCAACGCGCUGCCUCCCCGUCCCAUUUGUGUCCUCUGGCCAUCGCCCUCUCUGGUAACGCCCAUCACUGCAAAGACCCUUUUCCUUCAUCUGCGUUUGCUGUUCUUCCUGCCAGUGCGUGUUGCUUUCACUUACACUUGCCACAGCCAGCCUCAUGAGUGCCUAGCCUAUUGGAUAUCACUGUCACCUACACAGGACAGUCAUUACCUUUCUAUUAAUACUUUGUUUUUUAAUUUCACAUUAAUUUCCAUAUUGUAUAAACAACUGGAAAAAACUUGAGCCCCUGCCCCUGUAUAAUCAUGUGCACGUCUCUGUUCUAGCUCUAAGGUGAAUCUUCACUGCUCAUGUUCUCCUCAGAAGCAGUCACCUCACUCCCCUCAGGUUACUGUACACAUGCACCAACUGCCUGCUUCAGGUUUGGAUGGAGCUUCAUGGUUGUCUUUUGGAGAAAUGACCAGUCAAGUUGUGUUUGAAAUUUGAUUUUUUUCAGGGGCAAAAGGAGCCUCUGCAUUCUUGUCAAAUAUGUAAAUAGCAUGUUUUUGCAGGUGCUAAAAACCAGACUCUGAGUGUAUGUGUGUGCGUGUGUGUGUGUCUGUGUGUGUGUGUGUGUGUGCGUUCAAGUCACAUGACAUAUUUAACCGGAUGUAGCUGCAAGACGGAGCCUCGUUGACUCUCCGUUUCAACUUAUCUCAAAAGUGAGGACCUCAACCUAUAUACCAGUUUUUAAAUUGUGUUGAUAGGCCAAAUAAAACCAGAGUUAUGAUAAAUUAUGUCCGCGAUACUUUUUUUCUGCUUAUUUUGAUCACGUUCGGCGCUCGAUCGCGCUGUAUGAGACAGGAAAACAUAGCAUGCAGACAUUAGCGACAGGUCUUACAGGCGGAAAAGGCUUGCCAAAAGAAAAAAAAAACACACCACAACAUCUCUCCUAUUGGUGGAAAACUUCACCACAACAACCAAUCCAAAAUUAUAUGGUGACUGAUUGACAAGGGGCGGGCGCUUACGUUCUUCCUGCAACAUGAGAAGGGAGGGAGGGACUCUCAGCAGGGAUGCAGUCUGGGACACGUAGUUGCAAACCUAGCGACUUUGUUGUUAGAUUCAAUGACUUUUCAGACCCCCUAACGACUUUUUUUUAGAAAGAAAGGGACUUUUAUCGACUUCUUCUGGAGUUUAGAGACUCUGACAUGAAGCAGGCUUUCCUUACUGAGGAGUUAGCAACGCUGCUAAGGGUGCAGAGCCACACAUGCGCUCAGAGCUCUGCAUGGGAGACUGAAGCUGACAGAGCUGCAGCAGUUAGCAGGUUUCACCCUCAGAGACCACCAGGGGUUCAUGUUGAGGCAUUUUAAUUUUUUUUUUUUUUUUUGUGCCAUAGACACUGUCAGCACAAUCUGCAGUUACACUAACAAAAAUGCUGCAAAAAACAAAGAAUUAUGGAAAAAUUACACAUGGACUGACAUAGAGGAGGAUCUACACAAGUUUUUUACAUCAUGUUUUACAUCAUGCAUCAUUUACAUCAUGUUUUUUUGUAGUGGCAUAAAUAAAAAGUGACAUUUGUGAGACUAUACAGUGUUUUGUAAAUAAUUUUACAAAGAACGCCUGGGCCAUUGCCUGCAUUUUGAUGUAAAUAGAGGUAAAUCACUAUGUUCUUUGUUAAAAAUUUGCAUAUGUUUUGAAGUUUACAAUUUUUAUUUGAAGUUUAAGUUUUAAAAACAGUUCAUCACACAUAUUUGUGGUUUAAUUUCACAUUAAUUUCCAUAUUGUAUAAAUGACUGGAAAAAACUUGAGCCCCUGCCCCUGUAUAAUCAUGUGCACGUCCCUGUUGUAGCUCCAAGGUGAAUCUUCACUGCUCAUGUUCUCCUCAGAAAUAGUCACCUCACUCCCCUCAGGUUACUGUACACAUGCACCAACUAUCUGCUUCAGGUUUGAAAUGGAGCUUCAUGGUUGUCUUUUGGAGAAAUGAACAGUCAAGUUGUGUUUGAAAUUUGAUUUUUUUCAGGGGCAAAAGGAAGCCUCUGCAUUCUUGUCAAAUAUGUAAACAGCAUGUUUUUGCAGGUGCUAAAAAACAGACUCUGAGUGUGUGUGUGUGUCUGUGUGUGUGUGUGUGUGGGUGUGUGUGUGUGUGUGUAUGUUGGCGUGUGUGUAUAUGUGUGUGUAUCCUGCAGUACUCUGUACUCCUGCAGUGGCCAAAAAGACUUUUAAGAAUGUGGAUUUUUGGGUCAUCUUUGGCGCCCCCUAGAACGUAAACCGUGGGGUGCAGCGUCAUGAUUUUUACAACUUUGAAUGGGCAUGGGGUGUAGAUUGCCCUGAGCAAAUUUGGUAUCGGUGGGACGAAAGCCUUAGGAGGAGAUAGCCACAUUCCAAUGUGUGCGAAUCGGCAAAAAAAUGCAAAAUAGCCCUUUAACCGUACAUUAUACAGAUACGCGCUCUUUGACUUUUUCGUAGAUCUAAUUGAGAUACACAUGAUUGUCAAUUUUUGUGUCAAUAUGACAAAGCGUUCAGGCGUGACACUCAACAAUGUGUAUUUUUAUGUAAGGGGACAAGAAAAAAUUGACUUUUUUCUCCUACCAUGGGGGGCGCUCUUUUGGGGAGUAAAAAUUCCUUCACAAAUGUGUUGAUGGCUGGACAUUGCAUCAUCCUAGAAAACUUGGAGGCCAGUGAGGACAAAAAUAAAAAGUUAUAAAACAUUUAAGAAUGUGGAUUUUUGGGUUAUUUUUGGCGCCCCCUAGAACCUAAACCAUGGGGUGCAGCAUCAUGAUUUGAAUAACUUUUAAUGGCCAUGGGGUGUAGAUUGGCCUGAGCAAAUGUGGUGCCGGUGGACAGAAAGCCUUCGGAGGAGUUAGCGAAAUUCCAAUGUGUGCGUAUCGGCAAAAAAUGCGGAAUAACCCUUUAACUAUACAUUUGACAGAUACGCGCGCAUGGACUUUUUUGUAGAUCUUAUUGAGUUACAUGUGUGUGUCAAUUUUUGUGUCAUUUUGACAAAGCGUAUAGGCGUGACACUCAACAAUGUGUAUUUUCGCCUUAGGGGACAAGAAAAAAUGGACUUUUUUCUCCUGCCAUGGGGGGGCGCUCUUUUGGGGAGUAAAAAUUCCUUCACAAAUGUGUUGAUGGCUGGACAUUGCAUCAUCCUAGAAAACUUGGAGGCCAGUGAGGACAAAAAUAAAAAGUUAUAAGACUUUUAAAUAUGUGGAUUUUAGUGUUAUCUUUGGCGCCCCCUAGAACCUAAACCUUGGGGUGCAGCGUCAUGAUUUUGAUAACUUUUAAUGGCCACGGGGUGUAGAUUGGCCUGAGCAAAUGUGGUGCCGGUGGAACGAAAGCCUUCGGAGGAGUUAGCGAAAUUCCAAUGUGUGCGGAUCGGAAAAAAAUGCGAAAUAACCCUUUAACCGUACAUUUGACAGAUACGGCCGCACUGACUUUUUCGUAGAUCUUAUUGAGAUACAUAUGUGUGUCAAUUUUUGUGUCAAUAUGACAAAGCGUACAGGCGUGACAGUCAAUAGUGUGAAUUUCCACCUUAGGGGGCGCUAUGGAGCCAUUUUGCAUUUUAUUGUUUGGGCGACUUCAGAAUAUCGAAUUUUUCACCAGGCCCGGUCAUCCUGCCAAAUUUCAUGAGUUUUCGCCAGUGGGAAGUGGGCCAUUUUCCAGUUCAAAGGGGAGGAAAAAGAAGAAAGAAAGAAACAAAGACUAGGACCCCGUUGGGGCACUGUCGGGCCCGAGCCGUGUCGCGUCCCCCCCCCCCCCCCAACGUGCUGCCUCCCCGUCCCAUUUGUGUCCUCUGGCCAUCGCCCUCUCUGGUAACGCCCAUCACUGCAAAGACCCUUUUCCUUCAUCGGCGUUUGCUGUUCUUCCUGCCAGUGCGUGUUGCUUUCACUUACACUUGCCACAGCCAGCCUCGUGAGUGCCUAGCCUAUUGGAUAUCACUGUCACCUACACAGGACAGUCAUUACCUUUCUAUUAAUACUUUGUGUUUUAAUUUCACAUUAAUUUCCAUAUUGUAUAAACGACUGGAAAAAACUUGAGCCCCUGCCCCUGUAUAAUCAUGUGCAUGUCUCUGUUCUAGCUCCAAGGUGAAUCUUCACUGCUCAUGUUCUCCUCAGAAGCACUCACCUCACUCCCCUCAGGUUACUGUACACAUGCACCAACUGCCUGCUUCAGGUUUGGAUGGAGCUUCAUGGUUGUCUUUUGGAGAAAUGACCAGUCAAGUUGUGUUUGAAAUUUGAUUUUUUUCAGGGGCAAAAGGAGCCUCUGCAUUCUUGUAAAAUAUGUAAAUAGCAUGUUUUUGCAGGUGCUAAAAACCAGACUCUGAGUGUGUGUGUGUGUGUCUGUGUGUGUGUGUGUGUGUGUGUGUGUGUCUGUGUGUGCGUUCAAGUCACAUGACAUAUUUAAUCGGAUGUAGCUGCAAGACGGAGCCUCGUUGACUCUCCGUUUCAACUUAUCUCAAAAGUGAGGACCUCAACCUAUAUACCAGUUUUUAAAUUGUGUUGAUAGGCCAAAUAAAACCAGAGUUAUGAUAAAUUAUGUCCGCGAUACUUUUUUUCUGCUUAUUUUGAUCACGUUCGGCGCUCGAUCGCGCUGUAUGAGACAGGAAAACAUAGCAUGCAGACAUUAGCAACAGCUCUUACAGGCGGAAAAGGCUUGCCAAAAGAAAAAAAAAACACACCACAACAUCUCUCCUAUUGGUGGAAAACUUCACCACAACAACCAAUCCAAAAUUAUAUGGUGACUGAAUGACAAGGGGCGGGCGCUUACGUUCUUCCUGCAACAUGAGAAGGGAGGGAGGGACUCUCAGCAGGGAUGCAGUCUGGGACACGUAGUUGCAAACCUAGCGACUUUGUUGUUAGAUUCAAUGACUUUUCAGACCCCCUAACGACUUUUUUUUAGAAAGAAAGGGACUUUUAUCGACUUCUUCUGGAGUUUAGAGACUCUGACAUGAAGCAGGCUUUCCUUACUGAGGAGUUAGCAACGCUGCUAAGGGUGCAGAGCCACACAUGCGCUCAGAGCUCUGCAUGGGAGACUGAAGCUGACAGAGCUGCAGCAGUUAGCAGGUUUCACCCUCAGAGACCACCAGGGGUUCAUGUUGAGGAAUUUUAAUUUUUUUCUUUUUUGUGCCAUAGACACUGUCAGCACAAUCUGCAGUUACACUAACAAAAAUGCUGCAAAAAACAAAGAAUUAUGGAAAAAUUACACAUGGACUGACAUAGAGGAGGAUCUACACAAGUUUUUUACAUCAUGUUUUACAUCAUGCAUCAUUUACAUCAUGUUUUUUUGUAGUGGCAUAAAUAAAAAGUGACAUUUGUGAGACUAUACAGUGUUUUGUAAAUAAUUUUACAAAGAACGCCUGGGCCAUUGCCUGCAUUUUGAUGUAAAUAGAGGUAAAUCACUAUGUUCUUUGUUAAAAAUUUGCAUAUGUUUUGAAGUUUACAAUUUUUAUUUGAAGUUUAAGUUUUAAAAACAGUUCAUCACACCUAUUUGUGGUUUUCACAGUAAAAAUGUUACUUUUUUCCACUCGGAUUUUAUGUUUUGUGUGUGAAUUUGGGUCCAUUGUGUAAAUUCAGUAUGUCAACAUGAUAAAAUAACUGUAAAUUCGCACAGGUGAGGUUGUGCUGAAAAAAAUGAUACCAGGCAAGGCACGUGAUUGUCAAAUUUUGUGUCAAUAUGACAAAGCGUAUAGGCGUGAAUCUCAACAAUAUGUAUUUUCACCUUAGGGGACAAGAAAAAAUGGACUUUUUUCUCCUGCCAUGGGGGGGCGCUCUUUUGGGGAGUAAAAAUUCCUUCACAAAUGUGUUGAUGGCUGGACAUUGCAUCAUCCUAGAAAACUUGGAGGCCAGUGAGGACAAAAAUAAAAAGUUAUAAGACUUUUAAAUAUGUGGAUUUUAGGGUUGUCUUUGGCGCCCCCUAGAACCUAAACCGUGGGGUGCAGCGUCAUGAUUUGAAUAACUUUUAAUGGCCAUGGGGUGUAGAUUGGCCUGAGCAAAUGAGGUGCCGGUGGACAGAAAGCCUUCGGAGGAGUUAGCGAAAUUCCAAUGUGUGCGGAUCGGCAAAAAAUGCGGAAUAACCCUUUAACCGUACAUUUGACAGAUACGCGCGCAUUGACUUUUUCGUAGAUCUUAUUGAGAUACACGUGAUUGUCAAAUUUUGUGUCAAUAUGACAAAGCGUAUAGGCGUGACACUCAACAAUGUGUAUUUUCACCUUAGGGGACAAGAAAAAAUGGACUUUUUUCUCCUGCCAUGGGGGGGCGCUCUUUUGGGGAGUAAAAAUUCCUUCACAAAUGUGUUGAUGGCUGGACAUUGCAUCAUCCUAGAAAACUUGGAGGCCAGUGAGGACAAAAAUAAAAAUUUUUGUCAAAUAUGUAAAUAGCAUGUUUUUGCAGGUGCUAAAAACCAGACUCUGAGUGUAUGUGUGUGCGUGUGUGUGUGUCUGUGUGUGUGUGUGUGUGUGCGUUCAAGUCACAUGACAUAUUUAACCGGAUGUAGCUGCAAGACGGAGCCUCGUUGACUCUCCGUUUCAACUUAUCUCAAAAGUGAGGACCUCAACCUAUAUACCAGUUUUUAAAUUGUGUUGAUAGGCCAAAUAAAACCAGAGUUAUGAUAAAUUAUGUCCGCGAUACUUUUUUUCUGCUUAUUUUGAUCACGUUCGGCGCUCGAUCGCGCUGUAUGAGACAGGAAAACAUAGCAUGCAGACAUUAGCGACAGGUCUUACAGGCGGAAAAGGCUUGCCAAAAGAAAAAAAAACACACCACAACAUCUCUCCUAUUGGUGGAAAACUUCACCACAACAACCAAUCCAAAAUUAUAUGGUGACUGAUUGACAAGGGGCGGGCGCUUACGUUCUUCCUGCAACAUGAGAAGGGAGGGAGGGACUCUCAGCAGGGAUGCAGUCUGGGACACGUAGUUGCAAACCUAGCGACUUUGUUGUUAGAUUCAAUGACUUUUCAGACCCCCUAACGACUUUUUUUUAGAAAGAAAGGGACUUUUAUCGACUUCUUCUGGAGUUUAGAGACUCUGACAUGAAGCAGGCUUUCCUUACUGAGGAGUUAGCAACGCUGCUAAGGGUGCAGAGCCACACAUGCGCUCAGAGCUCUGCAUGGGAGACUGAAGCUGACAGAGCUGCAGCAGUUAGCAGGUUUCACCCUCAGAGACCACCAGGGGUUCAUGUUGAGGCAUUUUAAUUUUUUUUUUUUUUUUGUGCCAUAGACACUGUCAGCACAAUCUGCAGUUACACUAACAAAAAUGCUGCAAAAAACAAAGAAUUAUGGAAAAAUUACACAUGGACUGACAUAGAGGAGGAUCUACACAAGUUUUUUACAUCAUGUUUUACAUCAUGCAUCAUUUACAUCAUGUUUUUUUGUAGUGGCAUAAAUAAAAAGUGACAUUUGUGAGACUAUACAGUGUUUUGUAAAUAAUUUUACAAAGAACGCCUGGGCCAUUGCCUGCAUUUUGAUGUAAAUAGAGGUAAAUCACUAUGUUCUUUGUUAAAAAUUUGCAUAUGUUUUGAAGUUUACAAUUUUUAUUUGAAGUUUAAGUUUUAAAAACAGUUCAUCACACAUAUUUGUGGUUUAAUUUCACAUUAAUUUCCAUAUUGUAUAAAUGACUGGAAAAAACUUGAGCCCCUGCCCCUGUAUAAUCAUGUGCACGUCCCUGUUGUAGCUCCAAGGUGAAUCUUCACUGCUCAUGUUCUCCUCAGAAAUAGUCACCUCACUCCCCUCAGGUUACUGUACACAUGCACCAACUAUCUGCUUCAGGUUUGAAAUGGAGCUUCAUGGUUGUCUUUUGGAGAAAUGAACAGUCAAGUUGUGUUUGAAAUUUGAUUUUUUUCAGGGGCAAAAGGAAGCCUCUGCAUUCUUGUCAAAUAUGUAAACAGCAUGUUUUUGCAGGUGCUAAAAAACAGACUCUGAGUGUGUGUGUGUGUCUGUGUGUGUGUGUGUGUGGGUGUGUGUGUGUGUGUGUAUGUUGGCGUGUGUGUAUAUGUGUGUGUAUCCUGCAGUACUCUGUACUCCUGCAGUGGCCAAAAAGACUUUUAAGAAUGUGGAUUUUUGGGUCAUCUUUGGCGCCCCCUAGAACGUAAACCGUGGGGUGCAGCGUCAUGAUUUUUACAACUUUGAAUGGGCAUGGGGUGUAGAUUGCCCUGAGCAAAUUUGGUAUCGGUGGGACGAAAGCCUUAGGAGGAGAUAGCCACAUUCCAAUGUGUGCGAAUCGGCAAAAAAAUGCAAAAUAGCCCUUUAACCGUACAUUAUACAGAUACGCGCUCUUUGACUUUUUCGUAGAUCUAAUUGAGAUACACAUGAUUGUCAAUUUUUGUGUCAAUAUGACAAAGCGUUCAGGCGUGACACUCAACAAUGUGUAUUUUUAUGUAAGGGGACAAGAAAAAAUUGACUUUUUUCUCCUACCAUGGGGGGCGCUCUUUUGGGGAGUAAAAAUUCCUUCACAAAUGUGUUGAUGGCUGGACAUUGCAUCAUCCUAGAAAACUUGGAGGCCAGUGAGGACAAAAAUAAAAAGUUAUAAAACAUUUAAGAAUGUGGAUUUUUGGGUUAUUUUUGGCGCCCCCUAGAACCUAAACCAUGGGGUGCAGCAUCAUGAUUUGAAUAACUUUUAAUGGCCAUGGGGUGUAGAUUGGCCUGAGCAAAUGUGGUGCCGGUGGACAGAAAGCCUUCGGAGGAGUUAGCGAAAUUCCAAUGUGUGCGUAUCGGCAAAAAAUGCGGAAUAACCCUUUAACUAUACAUUUGACAGAUACGCGCGCAUGGACUUUUUUGUAGAUCUUAUUGAGUUACAUGUGUGUGUCAAUUUUUGUGUCAUUUUGACAAAGCGUAUAGGCGUGACACUCAACAAUGUGUAUUUUCGCCUUAGGGGACAAGAAAAAAUGGACUUUUUUCUCCUGCCAUGGGGGGGCGCUCUUUUGGGGAGUAAAAAUUCCUUCACAAAUGUGUUGAUGGCUGGACAUUGCAUCAUCCUAGAAAACUUGGAGGCCAGUGAGGACAAAAAUAAAAAGUUAUAAGACUUUUAAAUAUGUGGAUUUUAGUGUUAUCUUUGGCGCCCCCUAGAACCUAAACCUUGGGGUGCAGCGUCAUGAUUUUGAUAACUUUUAAUGGCCACGGGGUGUAGAUUGGCCUGAGCAAAUGUGGUGCCGGUGGAACGAAAGCCUUCGGAGGAGUUAGCGAAAUUCCAAUGUGUGCGGAUCGGAAAAAAAUGCGAAAUAACCCUUUAACCGUACAUUUGACAGAUACGGCCGCACUGACUUUUUCGUAGAUCUUAUUGAGAUACAUAUGUGUGUCAAUUUUUGUGUCAAUAUGACAAAGCGUACAGGCGUGACAGUCAAUAGUGUGAAUUUCCACCUUAGGGGGCGCUAUGGAGCCAUUUUGCAUUUUAUUGUUUGGGCGACUUCAGAAUAUCGAAUUUUUCACCAGGCCCGGUCAUCCUGCCAAAUUUCAUGAGUUUUCGCCAGUGGGAAGUGGGCCAUUUUCCAGUUCAAAGGGGAGGAAAAAGAAGAAAGAAAGAAACAAAGACUAGGACCCCGUUGGGGCACUGUCGGGCCCGAGCCGUGUCGCGUCCCCCCCCCCCCCCCCAACGUGCUGCCUCCCCGUCCCAUUUGUGUCCUCUGGCCAUCGCCCUCUCUGGUAACGCCCAUCACUGCAAAGACCCUUUUCCUUCAUCGGCGUUUGCUGUUCUUCCUGCCAGUGCGUGUUGCUUUCACUUACACUUGCCACAGCCAGCCUCGUGAGUGCCUAGCCUAUUGGAUAUCACUGUCACCUACACAGGACAGUCAUUACCUUUCUAUUAAUACUUUGUGUUUUAAUUUCACAUUAAUUUCCAUAUUGUAUAAACGACUGGAAAAAACUUGAGCCCCUGCCCCUGUAUAAUCAUGUGCAUGUCUCUGUUCUAGCUCCAAGGUGAAUCUUCACUGCUCAUGUUCUCCUCAGAAGCACUCACCUCACUCCCCUCAGGUUACUGUACACAUGCACCAACUGCCUGCUUCAGGUUUGGAUGGAGCUUCAUGGUUGUCUUUUGGAGAAAUGACCAGUCAAGUUGUGUUUGAAAUUUGAUUUUUUUCAGGGGCAAAAGGAGCCUCUGCAUUCUUGUAAAAUAUGUAAAUAGCAUGUUUUUGCAGGUGCUAAAAACCAGACUCUGAGUGUGUGUGUGUGUGUCUGUGUGUGUGUGUGUGUGUGUGUGUGCGUGUGUGUGUGUCUGUGUGUGCGUUCAAGUCACAUGACAUAUUUAAUCGGAUGUAGCUGCAAGACGGAGCCUCGUUGACUCUCCGUUUCAACUUAUCUCAAAAGUGAGGACCUCAACCUAUAUACCAGUUUUUAAAUUGUGUUGAUAGGCCAAAUAAAACCAGAGUUAUGAUAAAUUAUGUCCGCGAUACUUUUUUUCUGCUUAUUUUGAUCACGUUCGGCGCUCGAUCGCGCUGUAUGAGACAGGAAAACAUAGCAUGCAGACAUUAGCAACAGCUCUUACAGGCGGAAAAGGCUUGCCAAAAGAAAAAAAAAACACACCACAACAUCUCUCCUAUUGGUGGAAAACUUCACCACAACAACCAAUCCAAAAUUAUAUGGUGACUGAAUGACAAGGGGCGGGCGCUUACGUUCUUCCUGCAACAUGAGAAGGGAGGGAGGGACUCUCAGCAGGGAUGCAGUCUGGGACACGUAGUUGCAAACCUAGCGACUUUGUUGUUAGAUUCAAUGACUUUUCAGACCCCCUAACGACUUUUUUUUAGAAAGAAAGGGACUUUUAUCGACUUCUUCUGGAGUUUAGAGACUCUGACAUGAAGCAGGCUUUCCUUACUGAGGAGUUAGCAACGCUGCUAAGGGUGCAGAGCCACACAUGCGCUCAGAGCUCUGCAUGGGAGACUGAAGCUGACAGAGCUGCAGCAGUUAGCAGGUUUCACCCUCAGAGACCACCAGGGGUUCAUGUUGAGGAAUUUUAAUUUUUUUCUUUUUUGUGCCAUAGACACUGUCAGCACAAUCUGCAGUUACACUAACAAAAAUGCUGCAAAAAACAAAGAAUUAUGGAAAAAUUACACAUGGACUGACAUAGAGGAGGAUCUACACAAGUUUUUUACAUCAUGUUUUACAUCAUGCAUCAUUUACAUCAUGUUUUUUUGUAGUGGCAUAAAUAAAAAGUGACAUUUGUGAGACUAUACAGUGUUUUGUAAAUAAUUUUACAAAGAACGCCUGGGCCAUUGCCUGCAUUUUGAUGUAAAUAGAGGUAAAUCACUAUGUUCUUUGUUAAAAAUUUGCAUAUGUUUUGAAGUUUACAAUUUUUAUUUGAAGUUUAAGUUUUAAAAACAGUUCAUCACACCUAUUUGUGGUUUUCACAGUAAAAAUGUUACUUUUUUCCACUCGGAUUUUAUGUUUUGUGUGUGAAUUUGGGUCCAUUGUGUAAAUUCAGUAUGUCAACAUGAUAAAAUAACUGUAAAUUCGCACAGGUGAGGUUGUGCUGAAAAAAAUGAUACCAGGCAAGGCACGUGAUUGUCAAAUUUUGUGUCAAUAUGACAAAGCGUAUAGGCGUGAAUCUCAACAAUAUGUAUUUUCACCUUAGGGGACAAGAAAAAAUGGACUUUUUUCUCCUGCCAUGGGGGGGCGCUCUUUUGGGGAGUAAAAAUUCCUUCACAAAUGUGUUGAUGGCUGGACAUUGCAUCAUCCUAGAAAACUUGGAGGCCAGUGAGGACAAAAAUAAAAAGUUAUAAGACUUUUAAAUAUGUGGAUUUUAGGGUUGUCUUUGGCGCCCCCUAGAACCUAAACCGUGGGGUGCAGCGUCAUGAUUUGAAUAACUUUUAAUGGCCAUGGGGUGUAGAUUGGCCUGAGCAAAUGAGGUGCCGGUGGACAGAAAGCCUUCGGAGGAGUUAGCGAAAUUCCAAUGUGUGCGGAUCGGCAAAAAAUGCGGAAUAACCCUUUAACCGUACAUUUGACAGAUACGCGCGCAUUGACUUUUUCGUAGAUCUUAUUGAGAUACACGUGAUUGUCAAAUUUUGUGUCAAUAUGACAAAGCGUAUAGGCGUGACACUCAACAAUGUGUAUUUUCACCUUAGGGGACAAGAAAAAAUGGACUUUUUUCUCCUGCCAUGGGGGGGCGCUCUUUUGGGGAGUAAAAAUUCCUUCACAAAUGUGUUGAUGGCUGGACAUUGCAUCAUCCUAGAAAACUUGGAGGCCAGUGAGGACAAAAAUAAAAAGUUAUAAGACUUUUAAAAAUGUGGAUUUUUGGGUUAUCUUUGGCGCCCCCUAGAACGUAAACCGUGGGGUGCAGCGUCAUGAUUUGAAUAACUUUUAAUGGCCAUGGGGUGUAAUUUGGCCUGAGCAAAUGUGGUGCCGGUGGAACGAAAGCCUUCGGAGGAGUUAGCGAAAUUCCAAUGUGUGCGGAUCGGCAAAAAAUGCGAAAUAACCCUUUAACCGUACAUUUGACAGAUACGCCCGCACUGACUUUUUUGUAGAUCUUAUUGAGAUACAUGUGUGUGUCAAUUUUUGUGUCAUUUUGACAAAGCGUACAGGCGUGACAGUCAAUAGUGUGAAUUUUCACCUUAGGGGGCGCUAUGGAGCCAUUUUGCAUUUUCUUGUUUGGGCGACUUCGGAAUAUCAAAUUUUUCACCAGGCCCGGUCGUCCUGCCAAAUUUCAUGAGUUUUCGCCAGUGGGAAGUGGGCCAUUUUCCAGUUCAAAGGGGAGGAAAAAUAAUAAUAAUAACAAAAGAAGGAAACUACAGGAACAAGAGGGCUCUCGCAGCUGCUUAGCAGCUACGCUCGGGCCCUAACUAGGACCCCGUUGGGGCACUGGCGGGCCCGAGCUGUGUCGCGUCCCCGGCCCAACGCGCUGCCUCCCCGUCCCAUUUGUGUCCUCUGGCCAUCGCCCUCUCUGGUAACGCCCAUCACUGCAAAGACCCUUUUCCUUCAUCGGCGUUUGCUGUUCUUCCUGCCAGUGCGCGUUGCUUUCACUUACACUUGCCACAGCCAGCCUCGUGAGUGCCUAGCCUAUUGGAUAUCACUGUCACCUACACAGGACAGUCAUUACCUUUCUAUUAAUACUUUGUGUUUUAAUUUCACAUUAAUUUCCAUAUUGUAUAAACGACUGGAAAAAACUUGAGCCCCUGCCCCUGUAUAAUCAUGUGCAUGUCUCUGUUCUAGCUCCAAGGUGAAUCUUCACUGCUCAUGUUCUCCUCAGAAGCACUCACCUCACUCCCCUCAGGUUACUGUACACAUGCACCAACUGCCUGCUUCAGGUUUGGAUGGAGCUUCAUGGUUGUCUUUUGGAGAAAUGACCAGUCAAGUUGUGUUUGAAAUUUGAUUUUUUUCAGGGGCAAAAGGAGCCUCUGCAUUCUUGUCAAAUAUGUAAAUAGCAUGUUUUUGCAGGUGCUAAAAACCAGACUCUGAGUGUGUGUGUGUGUGUGUGUGUGUGUGUGUGUGUGUGUGUGCGUGUGUGUGUGUCUGUGUGUGCGUUCAAGUCACAUGACAUAUUUAACCGGAUGUAGCUGCAAGACGGAGCCUCGUUGACUCUCCGUUUCAACUUAUCUCAAAAGUGAGGACCUCAACCUAUAUACCAGUUUUUAAAUUGUGUUGAUAGGCCAAAUAAAACCAGAGUUAUGAUAAAUUAUGUCCGCGAUACUUUUUUUCUGCUUAUUUUGAUCACGUUCGGCGCUCGAUCGCGCUGUAUGAGACAGGAAAACAUAGCAUGCAGACAUUAGCGACAGGUCUUACAGGCGGAAAAGGCUUGCCAAAAGAAAAAAAAAACACACCACAACAUCUCUCCUAUUGGUGGAAAACUUUACCACAACAACCAAUCCAAAAUUAUAUGGUGACUGAUUGACAAGGGGCGGGCGCUUACGUUCUUCCUGCAACAUGAGAAGGGAGGGAGGGACUCUCAGCAGGGAUGCAGUCUGGGACACGUAGUUGCAAACCUAGCGACUUUGUUGUUAGAUUCAAUGACUUUUCAGACCCCCUAACGACUUUUUUUAGAAAGAAAGGGACUUUUAUCGACUUCUUCUGGAGUUUAGAGACUCUGACAUGAAGCAGGCUUUCCUUACUGAGGAGUUAGCAACGCUGCUAAGGGUGCAGAGCCACACAUGCGCUCAGAGCUCUGCAUGGGAGACUGAAGCUGACAGAGCUGCAGCAGUUAGCAGGUUUCACCCUCAGAGACCACCAGGGGUUCAUGUUGAGGCAUUUUAAUUUUUUUUUUUUUUUGUGCCAUAGACACUGUCAGCACAAUCUGCAGUUACACUAACAAAAAUGCUGCAAAAAACAAAGAAUUAUGGAAAAAUUACACAUGGACUGACAUAGAGGAGGAUCUACACAAGUUUUUUACAUCAUGUUUUACAUCAUGCAUCAUUUACAUCAUGUUUUUUUUUGUAGUGGCAUAAAUAAAAAGUGACAUUUGUGAGACUAUACAGUGUUUUGUAAAUAAUUUUACAAAGAACGCCUGGGCCAUUGCCUGCAUUUUGAUGUAAAUAGAGGUAAAUCAAUAUGUUCUUUGUUAAAAAUUUGCAUAUGUUUUGAAGUUUACAAUUUUUAUUUGAAGUUUAAGUUUUAAAAACAGUUCAUCACACAUAUUUGUGGUUUUCACAGUAAAAAUGUUACUUUUUUCCACUCGGAUUUUAUGUUUUGUGUGUGAAUUUGGGUCCAUUGUGUAAAUUCAGUAUGUCAACAUGAUAAAAUAACUGUAAAUUCGCACAGGUGAGGUUGUGCUGAAAAAAAAUGAUACCAGGCAAGGCACGUGAUUGUCAAAUUUUGUGUCAAUAUGACAAAGCGUAUGGGCGUGAAUCUCAACAAUAUGUAUUUUCACCUUAGGGGACAAGAAAAAAUGGACUUUUUUCUCCUGCCAUGGGGGGGCGCUCUUUUGGGGAGUAAAAAUUCCUUCACAAAUGUGUUGAUGGCUGGACAUUGCAUCAUCCUAGAAAACUUGGAGGCCAGUGAGGACAAAAAUAAAAAGUUAUAAGACUUUUAAAUAUGUGGAUUUUAGGGUUGUCUUUGGCGCCCCCUAGAACCUAAACCGUGGGGUGCAGCGUCAUGAUUUGAAUAACUUUUAAUGGCCAUGGGGUGUAGAUUGGCCUGAGCAAAUGUGGUGCCGGUGGACAGAAAGCCUUCGGAGGAGUUAGCGAAAUUCCAAUGUGUGCGGAUCGGCAAAAAAUGCGGAAUAACCCUUUAACCGUACAUUUGACAGAUACGCGCGCAUUGACUUUUUCGUAGAUCGUAUUGAGUUACAUGUGUGUGUCAACUUUUUGUGUCAUUUUGACAAAGCGUAUAGGCGUGACACUCAACAAUGUGUAUUUUCACCUUAGGGGACAAGAAAAAAUGGACUUUUUUCUCCUGCCAUGGGGGGGGCGCUCUUUUGGGGAGUAAAAAUUCCUUCACAAAUGUGUUGAUGGCUGGACAUUGCAUCAUCCUAGAAAACUUGGAGGCCAGUGAGGACAAAAAUAAGAAGUUAUAAGACUUUUAAAUAUGUGGAUUUUAGUGUUAUCUUUGGCGCCCCCUAGAACCUAAACCUUGGGGUGCAGCGUCAUGAUUUUGAUAACUUUUAAAGGCCACGGGGUGUAGAUUGGCCUGAGCAAAUGUGGUGCCGGUGGAAAGAAAGCCUUCGGAGGAGUUAGCGAAAUUCCAAUGUGUGCGGAUCGGAAAAAAAUGCGAAAUAACCCUUUAACCGUACAUUUGACAGAUACGGCCGCACUGACUUUUUUGUAGAUCUUAUUGAGAUACAUAUGUGUGUCAAUUUUUGUGUCAAUAUGACAAAGCGUACAGGCGUGACAGUCAAUAGUGUGAAUUUCCACCUUAGGGGGCGCUAUGGAGCCAUUUUGCAUUUUAUUGUUUGGGCGACUUCAGAAUAUCGAAUUUUUCACCAGGCCCGGUCGUCCUGCCAAAUUUCAUGAGUUUUCGCCAGUGGGAAGUGGGCCAUUUUCCAGUUCAAAGGGGAGGAAAAAGAAAAAAGAAAGAAAGAAACAAAGAAAAACCACUUGGGGAAUAAUAGGGCCUACGCCCGGCUGCUCUGCAGCUGGCUCGGGCCCUAAAGAAAGAAAGAAAGAAAGAAACAAAGAAAAACCACUUGGGGAAUAAUAGGGCUCUCGCAGCUGCUUAGCAGCUACGCUCGGGCCCUAACUAGGACCCCGUUGGGGCACUGGCGGGCCCGAGCUGUGUCGCGUCCCCCCCCCAACGCGCUGCCUCCCCGUCCCAUUUGUGUCCUCUGGCCAUCGCCCUCUCUGGUAACGCCCAUCACUGCAAAGACCCUUUUCCUUCAUCGGCGUUUGCUGUUCUUCCUGCCAGUGCGUGUUGCUUUCACUUACACUUGCCACAGCCAGCCUCGUGAGUGCCUAGCCUAUUGGAUAUCACUGUCACCUACACAGGACAGUCAUUACCUUUCUAUUAAUACUUUGUUUUUUAAUUUCACAUUAAUUUCCAUAUUGUAUAAACAACUGGAAAAAACUUGAGCCCCUGCCCCUGUAUAAUCAUGUGCACGUCUCUGUUCUAGCUCUAAGGUGAAUCUUCACUGCUCAUGUUCUCCUCAGAAGCAGUCACCUCACUCCCCUCAGGUUACUGUACACAUGCACCAACUGCCUGCUUCAGGUUUGGAUGGAGCUUCAUGGUUGUCUUUUGGAGAAAUGACCAGUCAAGUUGUGUUUGAAAUUUGAUUUUUUUCAGGGGCAAUAGGAGCCUCUGCAUUCUUGUCAAAUAUGUAAAUAGCAUGUUUUUGCAGGUGCUAAAAACCAGACUCUGAGUGUGUGUGUGUGCGUGUGUGUGUGUGUCUGUGUGUGUGUGUGUGUGUGCGUUCAAGUCACAUGACAUAUUUAACCGGAUGUAGCUGCAAGACGGAGCCUCGUUUACUCUCCGUUUCAACUUAUCUCAAAAGUGAGGACCUCAACCUAUAUACCAGUUUUUAAAUUGUGUUGAUAGGCCAAAUAAAACCAGAGUUAUGAUAAAUUAUGUCCGCGAUACUUGUUUUCUGCUUAUUUUGAUCACGUUCGGCGCUCGAUCGCGCUGUAUGAGACAGGAAAACAUAGCAUGCAGACAUUAGCGACAGGUCUUACAGGCGGAAAAGGCUUGCCAAAGGAAAAAAAAAACACACCACAACAUCUCUCCUAUUGGUGGAAAACUUCACCACAACAACCAAUCCAAAAUUAUAUGGUGACUGAUUGACAAGGGGCGGG